RNAcentral lists this transfer RNA (75 nucleotides) under Heterocephalus glaber (naked mole-rat). It matches the Rfam family "tRNA". From Rfam's summary of the family: Transfer RNA (tRNA) molecules are approximately 80 nucleotides in length. Their secondary structure includes four short double-helical elements and three loops (D, anti-codon, and T loops). The record is from Rfam by way of RNAcentral. Lineage: Eukaryota; Metazoa; Chordata; Mammalia; Rodentia; Bathyergidae.
AGGGAUGUAGCUAAGUAGCAGAGCACUUACCUGGCAUGUAUGAGGGGGCCCUGGGUUCAAUCCCCAGUACCACAA